AUCGAAUCUUUGAACGCACAUUGCGCCCGCUAGUAUUCUGGCGGGCAUGCCUGUUCGAGCGUCAUU
This 66-nucleotide ribosomal RNA is filed under the name salal root associated fungus UBCtra1022C. RNAcentral describes it as "partial 5.8S ribosomal RNA". It matches the Rfam family "5.8S ribosomal RNA", at positions 91 to 154 of the family's 154-position model. From Rfam's summary of the family: 5.8S ribosomal RNA (5.8S rRNA) is a component of the large subunit of the eukaryotic ribosome. It is transcribed by RNA polymerase I as part of the 45S precursor that also contains 18S and 28S rRNA. The record is from RNAcentral. Lineage: Eukaryota; Fungi; Ascomycota.